Molecule: ribosomal RNA, 440 nt
Filed under: uncultured bacterium
Lineage: Bacteria
Description: partial 16S ribosomal RNA
Rfam family: Bacterial small subunit ribosomal RNA
Source: RNAcentral
CCUACGGGAGGCAGCAGUAGGGAAUAUUGCUCAAUGGGGGAAACCCUGAAGCAGCAACGCCGCGUGGAGGAUGAAGGUUUUCGGAUUGUAAACUCCUUUUGUUAGAGAAGAUAAUGACGGUAUCUAACGAAUAAGCACCGGCUAAAUCCGUGCCAGCAGCCGCGGUAAUACGGAGGGUGCAAGCGUUACUCGGAAUCACUGGGCGUAAAGAGCGCGUAGGCGGGAUAGCAAGUCAGAUGUGAAAUCCUAGGGCUUAACCAUAGAACUGCAUUUGAAACUGUUAUUCUAGAGUAUGGGAGAGGUAGGUGGAAUUCUUGGUGGAGGGGUAAAAUCCGUAGAGAUCAAGAGGAAUACUCAUGGCGAAGGCGACCUGCUAGAACAUAACUGACGCUGAUGCGCGAAAGCGUGGGGAGCAAACAGGAUUAGAUACCCUUGUAGUC